This 553-nucleotide ribosomal RNA is filed under the name uncultured Nitrososphaerota archaeon. RNAcentral's name for it is "bacterial SSU rRNA". It matches the Rfam family "Archaeal small subunit ribosomal RNA", at positions 325 to 879 of the family's 1478-position model. The record is from RNAcentral. Lineage: Archaea; Thermoproteati; Nitrososphaerota.
ACGGGGUGCAGCAGGCGCGAAAACUUUGCAAUGUGCGAAAGCACGACAAGGUUAAUCCGAGUGGUUUCUGCUAAAGAAACCUUUUGUCAGUCCUAGAAACACUGAUGAAUAAGGGGUGGGCAAGUUCUGGUGUCAGCCGCCGCGGUAAAACCAGCACCUCAAGUGGUCAGGAUGAUUAUUGGGCCUAAAGCAUCCGUAGCUCGUUUUGUAAGUUUUCGGUUAAAUCCAUGCGCUUAACGUAUAGGCCGCCGAAAAUACUGUGCAGCUAGGGAGUGGGAGAGGUACACGGUACUCGAUAGGAAGGGGUAAAAUCCUUUGAUCUAUUGAUGACCACCUGUGGCGAAGGCGGUGUACCAGAACACGUUCGACGGUGAGGGAUGAAAGCUGGGGGAGCAAACCGGAUUAGAUACCCGGGUAGUCCCAGCUGUAAACGAUGCAGACUCGGUGAUGCAUUGGCUUGUGGCCAAUGCAGUGCCGCAGGGAAGCCGUUAAGUCUGCCGCCUGGGAAGUACGUACGCAAGUAUGAAACUUAAAGGAAUUGGCGGGGGAGCAC